UACGUAGGGGGCAAGCGUUGUUCGGAAUUACUGGGCGUAAAGGGCUCGUAGGUGGCCAACUAAGUCAGACGUGAAAUCCCUCGGCUUAACCGGGGAACUGCGUCUGAUACUGGAUGGCUUGAGUUCGGGAGAGGGAUGCGGAAUUCCAGGUGUAGCGGUGAAAUGCGUAGAUAUCUGGAGGAACACCGGUGGCGAAGGCGGCAUCCUGGACCGAUACUGACACUGAGGAGCGAAAGCCAGGGGAGCAAACGGG
Molecule: ribosomal RNA, 253 nt
Filed under: uncultured bacterium
Lineage: Bacteria
Description: partial 16S ribosomal RNA
Rfam family: Bacterial small subunit ribosomal RNA
Source: RNAcentral